This 285-nucleotide ribosomal RNA is filed under the name Citrobacter freundii. RNAcentral's name for it is "partial 16S ribosomal RNA". It matches the Rfam family "Bacterial small subunit ribosomal RNA", at positions 581 to 865 of the family's 1533-position model. RNAcentral also lists the same sequence under 1 other name. Lineage: Bacteria; Pseudomonadati; Pseudomonadota; Gammaproteobacteria; Enterobacterales; Enterobacteriaceae. The record is from RNAcentral.
UGUCAAGUCGGAUGUGAAAUCCCCGGGCUCAACCUGGGAACUGCAUCCGAAACUGGCAGGCUAGAGUCUUGUAGAGGGGGGUAGAAUUCCAGGUGUAGCGGUGAAAUGCGUAGAGAUCUGGAGGAAUACCGGUGGCGAAGGCGGCCCCCUGGACAAAGACUGACGCUCAGGUGCGAAAGCGUGGGGAGCAAACAGGAUUAGAUACCCUGGUAGUCCACGCCGUAAACGAUGUCGACUUGGAGGUUGUGCCCUUGAGGCGUGGCUUCCGGAGCUAACGCGUUAAGU